AGACCGGCUUACUGGUCGUGCUAUUGUACGUACUGGUAUAAUCGGUUUCUCCUUUCUGACGAACUUUAAUGCCAUUAAUUUGGUGUUUUAGGGAAUCAGGACUGUUACUUUGAAAAAAUUAGAGUGUUUAAAGCAGGCUCACGCUUGAAUACAUUAGCAUGGAAUAACGGAAUAGGACGUUUGAUUCUAUUUUGUUGGUUUCUAGGAUCGACGUA
RNAcentral lists this ribosomal RNA (215 nucleotides) under uncultured eukaryote. RNAcentral describes it as "partial small subunit ribosomal RNA". The stretch from base 46 to 215 matches the Rfam family "Eukaryotic small subunit ribosomal RNA", at positions 693 to 864 of the family's 1831-position model. The record is from RNAcentral. RNAcentral also lists the same sequence under 1 other name.